CAAAGGUUUGGUCCUAGCCUUAUUAUCAACUGUUUCUCAACUUACACAUGCAAGUAUCAGCACACCCGUGAGAACGCCCUUUAAAUCUUACCCAGAUAAAGGAGCUGGUAUCAGGCACAAACCCACCGCCCACAACACCUAGUCUCACCACACCCUCAAGGGUAAUCAGCAGUGAUUAAUUUUGCGUAUGAGCGUCAGCUUGACUCAGUUAGAGAAAAGAGGGCCGGCUAACCCGGUGCCAGCCGCCGCGGCUACACCGUGGGGCUCGAGUUGAUAGUCAUCGGCGUUAAGCGUGAUUAAAGUUAUUACAAAUUAAGGUUAAAUUAAUACUUAGUAGUUUUAUGCUUGUUAUUAAGAAAUCCACAAACGAAAGUUACCCUAAUUAUUAUGCUUGAAUACACGACAGCUAGG
This 411-nucleotide ribosomal RNA is filed under the name Aquarana catesbeiana (American bullfrog). RNAcentral's name for it is "Lithobates catesbeianus (American bullfrog) partial 12S ribosomal RNA". Lineage: Eukaryota; Metazoa; Chordata; Amphibia; Anura; Ranidae. The record is from RNAcentral.